This is an RNA transcript of Solanum stenotomum, 2823 nucleotides long. It is a transcript of the gene named cyclin-dependent kinase F-4-like, with no coding region annotated. The record is from RefSeq and is a predicted model, not a curated record. NCBI's taxonomy places the organism in Eukaryota, Viridiplantae, Streptophyta, Magnoliopsida, Solanales, Solanaceae. The transcript has 19 exons.
UUUUUUCACAGAAGAACAAAACAUGGAAAUUAAAUAAAAAAUUGUUGAAAGGAAUAAAUAAUAAUUAUGUAGAAGAUUUUUUUGCCCUUUUUUUUUUCACAAAUAAAGCCAAGAUUUCACAUCAUUAUCAAAAUAGUUAUGAUACCUUCAUCAUUAUUAUAGGGUGGCUCUUUUUGUGAAAGAGGAAAAGUCAGAAGAAUAAUAAAUAUACUAUUUUUUUUAUAGGGUUUGGUAUUAAAUUUCCUUUUCCUUUCUUCUUGUGGCUUUUUCUUGGUUAUGCCGUUUCAAUUUCAGGGUCAAUUAGACUUCAAUCCCAACAGAAUAAUAUUGUUUAGGACAUGGAGCAAGUCUGCCUUUUCUCAGAUAACUUUGGGUAUCAAGCUUUCUCAUUUCAGGAAGUCCUCGAUUGGCGGUUCCUCAUCUGUGGAGAUUUCCUUGUUGUUUCCUUUGUCAAUUGCACAUAGUUAACAUCUGCUCUUGAGUGAUCAGUACAGGAGACCAUAUGCCAUUUCCACAUAAGUUAAGUGUUGGAUGUUUAAUGCAGUUCCACUAGUAAGCAGCACACCUUAUGAUGUCAAUUGUGACUGUACUGUUAACUACCUCAUGCAAGUUUUUUAUUUCUAGCGCAUCGCCGAUAAGACACCCAUUCAGGAACCUUUGGAAACCAUCCUCUGAGGGCUAAAUUCAGCAGACAUAUGUAUGAUGUUUCUAUGCAUUGUUGAGAAUUAGUUAGCUCUUUACACACUUGCUUCGGGUUUGGUAGUUUCUAGAGACCUCUUCUUCACAAUUCGGUUGACUGAAGAUUUGGUAUCAGACAGAAGUGUUAUUGGAGGCAAGGAGCUAAUGUGUUUUUGAGAAAGAAAGGUUCUGUGACUUGGACGUAUAAUUUGAUAUGUUGAAUUGAGCUAUUUGAAUCUCAGUUAGCUUUGAAGUGGUAUCAUGAUGCACUGCAGCACUUGCCUUUGCUUGCUUUCUCUCACCUGUUACAGUUUUGGUCUUUCUUCUGCUAUAUAUCUUACAAAUAAGGCUGUGAAGCCCAUCCGUCCUAUCAUUGCUGAUUCUGCCGUCAUCAGUUUUGCAGAAGGAAAUUAAGGGUGAUUUUGCUGAAUCAGCCAGGCCAUAGUUCCUUUUAGUAUUUUUUUUUUCUUUUACAGUCAUCCCGAGACAGAAAUCCACUUUGUUUAUGUGUGUGUUGUCCCUAUACUCCAUUUAAUAAGAGUCCUACGUGCUAUUGAAGCUACUGAAAUGGAAAGGUACCAGAUAAUUGAAGAAGUUGGUAAUGGUACGUUUGGCAAUGUUUGGCGUGCACUUAAUAAGCAGACUGGUGAAGUGGUUGCGAUUAAAAAGAUGAAGAAGAAUUAUUAUUCAUGGGAAGAAUGCAUAAACUUGAGAGAGGUCAAGUCUCUGAGAAAAAUGAACCAUUCGAAUAUUGUGAAGCUCAAGGAAGUGGUUAGGGAGAACGACAUUUUGUAUUUCGUGUUUGAAUACAUGGAGUGCAACUUAUACCAGCUUAUGAAGGACAGAGCAAAGCUUUUCUCAGAAUCCGAAGUGAGAAAUUGGUGCUUCCAAGUAUUUCAAGGUCUUGCUUACAUGCAUCGACAAGGAUAUUUUCAUCGUGACCUUAAGCCAGAGAACUUGUUGGUUUCGAAAGAUAUAAUUAAAGUUGCUGAUUUUGGUCUUGCUCGGGAGAUCAAUUCUCAGCCUCCGUAUACAGAAUAUGUAUCAACACGUUGGUAUCGUGCUCCUGAAGUUCUUCUCCAGUCACCCAUCUAUGGUCCUGCUGUCGAUAUGUGGGCCAUGGGUGCUAUAAUGGCUGAGUUGUUUAGUCUUCGUCCUCUGUUUCCGGGUUCAAGUGAAGCAGAUGAGAUCUACAAAAUAUGCAGUGUUAUAGGGACCCCAACCAAGAGGGACUGGUCUCAGGGACUUGAACUUGCUAGUGCUAUUAACUACCAAUUUCCGCAGGUUGCUGGUGUAGAUCUUGCUUUGCUAGUUCCAUCUGCCAGUGAAAAUGCUAUUAGUCUAAUCACGUCUCUUUGUUCAUGGGAUCCUCGUAAGAGGCCGACGGCAAUCGAUGCUCUUCAGCAUCCUUUUUUCCAGAGUUGCUUUUAUGUACCUCCAUCACUACGCACCAAGGCUGCUGUUGCUAAGACUCCUCCUUCUGCUGUUGUGCGGGGUGCAGUGGAGCAGAAGUAAAAGUGGUCAUCUGGGAUGUCGAACAAUCCCAAACCUAGCAGCAACUUCUCAACUGUCAAGUCACAGCUGCCGUUUAACGCAGGUGUACAAAGGAAGCUGGAUAUGAAUUAUCAGGAUCCAACGAGGAAUGAUAAAUUCCUGCAAGGCUCUGUUAACCAACAACCAAAAUAUCGACCUCCCGGAAGGAACAUUCCAAGCGAUCCAAUGGUUGGUUCCAGAGUGCAGAAUUUUGCCGUUUCUGAUGCAGCUGACAAGCUGGGAAACAUGAAUAUUGGCUCUGGCAGAGGACCUACAAUGCAGCCAAUAGUUAAGCCAAUGAAGGCAGGAGGAUGGCAUGGGCAGCACGACUUGUUCCAUGGACGGUCUAAAGAGUUUCUUCCAGGAAGAAGCUUUUCGAGGAAAGUUGCUGGAUGAAGAAAUGUCAUAGCUGAGUGUCCUACUUUGGUCUAGUGUUCUAUUCGCGAUAAUAGUCUUUAUGUGCUUGGCUAAAUUUGAUGUUACUUUGGUGUCUUUGUGCUUUCAAUAUUUUUGUUUAGUUUUUGGUGAUACUGUUAUAUGUACGAUGUUGAACAUGUUUUGAAUAAUGUAUUUCGUUGUUUUGCUUGAAUAAAUGGUUUUCCUCUACUCUCA